CAAAGGGAAGCGAGAGAGCGAUCUGGAGCAAAUCCCAAAAAUAACGUCCCAGUUCGGAUUGUAGUCUGCAACCCGACUACAUGAAGCUGGAAUCGCUAGUAAUCGCGAAUCAGCAUGUCGCGGUGAAUACGUUCCCGGGUCUUGUACACACCGCCCGUCACACCAUGGGAGUCGGUAACGCCCGAAGUCAGUGACCCAACCGGAAGGAGGGAGCUGCCGAAGGCGGGACUGGUAACUGGGGUGAAGUCGUAACAAGGUAAC
Molecule: ribosomal RNA, 261 nt
Filed under: uncultured bacterium
Lineage: Bacteria
Description: partial 16S ribosomal RNA
Rfam family: Bacterial small subunit ribosomal RNA
Source: RNAcentral